GAGCUAAAGCUUAGUUGCCUUUUUUUUAAUUUUAAGUCAGUCAUUUUCUGGGCCAUCCGAUCGCAUCAACAUCCCUGAAAUUUUGGUUGGCUUUUCUUUCUUUUUUUUUCCUUUUUGCUCGACAGCUUCGUUUUCCAUGUCUCGCCACUCCCUGGAUUCCUCACUCCCCUGGGUGGCUGGGUGCCUCACGCCGCCUCCGCCGCCGCCGUGGCCGCCGCUGCCCCUGCUACGCUCGAGCCGCCCCCCAUCCUUGCUACUGUGCCGCGCCGCCGUGCAUUAGCCGUUUCCGAUCGCUCGCUGACGUCCCUGCUGCGCCGUCGCUAUCCAGGCCACCCCUGCUGCUCCUCCAGUCCGAGUCUCCGGCUUCCGUCCCUGCUGCUCCUUCGCCGCCGAGCAGGUUAGUGGAGGAAAUUUGUGUUCGGUGGAUGUGAUUUUCAGCUGAGCAUGGAUUGCUUGUUCCAUGUUUUUGCUUGAAUUGAUCAGGAGGGUUGGUUCUGCAGCUAUUUAUGUUCAGUUGGGUUGUGCUCCCUCUCUAAUGGAAGUGAUUUUGGUGAAAUACAUGGUUGAUGUGUGUUGAUUAGGCUAUCAUUGCUUCAGUUUUGGUUCAAUGGCAGGAGCAGCUUGUGGUUGUCCAAAGUAUUGAUGCAUGUGUUCAUGAUAUGCUAUUUUUUGCAAUCGCAGUCAUGCUAAAUAUGUAAUGCAUUCUACUCUUCUAGACAUGGUGCGUCAAUCAUUUAGUACUGUCUCUGCUAUCGGCGGCAGAGUUUGCUCAUCCCUGUCCAACAUAAGAGGCGAGGGUUUUCGAUCCAUGCUCAUCGGCGCGGAUGUGGCAAUGCGAAGGCAGCAGAGAUGAGGUGUUUUCCAUCUCUUCUCGUCGACGACGUAGUUUGCUCUCCUCCGUCCGGUGAGUUCUCUGUUUUCUCUGUCCACGGUGAAAUGGUUGUUGUAGUUUGCUUCCUCGAGCUUCUUGGUUUCAUUUCCCCGGCGAAAA
Brachypodium distachyon (stiff brome) is the source of this 991-nucleotide long non-coding RNA. RefSeq lists it as uncharacterized. The record is from RefSeq and is a predicted model, not a curated record. Lineage: Eukaryota; Viridiplantae; Streptophyta; Magnoliopsida; Poales; Poaceae. The transcript has 4 exons.